AGAAACGAAACAGUGAUGUGGAGUAAAACUUAAAAAGCGGUCCCAGUUCGAAUUGAAGGCUGAAAUUCGCCUUCAUGAAGUCGGAAUUGCUAGUAAUGGCAGGUCAGCAUACUGCCGUGAAUACGUUCCCGGGCCUUGUACACACCGCCCGUCACACCAUGAGAGUUGGAAAUACCCGAAGCCUGUGAGCUAACAGUAAUGAGGCAGCAGUCGAAGGUAGAGCCAAUGAUUGGGGUGAAGUCGUAACAAGGUAGC
RNAcentral lists this ribosomal RNA (255 nucleotides) under uncultured bacterium. RNAcentral's name for it is "partial 16S ribosomal RNA". It matches the Rfam family "Bacterial small subunit ribosomal RNA", at positions 1245 to 1500 of the family's 1533-position model. The record is from RNAcentral.